This 512-nucleotide ribosomal RNA is filed under the name uncultured bacterium. RNAcentral describes it as "partial 16S ribosomal RNA". It matches the Rfam family "Bacterial small subunit ribosomal RNA", at positions 28 to 507 of the family's 1533-position model. The record is from RNAcentral.
GAUGAACGCUGGCGGCGUGCCUAAUACAUGCAAGUCGAACGAAACUUCUUUAUCACCGAGUGCUUGCACUCACCGAUAAAGAGUUGAGUGGCGAACGGGUGAGUAACACGUGGGCAACCUGCCCAAAAGAGGGGGAUAACACUUGGAAACAGGUGCUAAUACCGCAUAACCAUAGUUACCGCAUGGUAACUAUGUAAAAGGUGGCUAUACUACCGCUUUUGGAUGGGCCCGCGGCGCAUUAGCUAGUUGGUAGGGGAAAGGCUUACCAAGGCAAUGAUGCGUAGCCGAAGUGAGCGGGUGAUCGGCCACAGUGGGACUGAGACACGGCCCAAACUCCUACGGGAGGCAGCAGUAGGGAAUCUUCCACAAUGGGCGAAAGCCUGAUGGAGCAACGCCGCGUGGGUGAAGAAGGUCUUCGGAUCGUAAAACCCUGUUGUUAGAGAAGAAAGUGCGUGAGCGUAACUGUUCACGUUUCGACGGUAUCUAACCAGAAAGCCACGGCUAACUACGUG